CACAACUCGACAAACAACAUGCGGCUGGGUUGCGUGGCUUUUGUGAUACUUUUUCUCCGCAGAUGUCUCGGUGCUGAAUUGACACAGUCUCCGAUGUCCAUCACCCGACAUGAGGGCGAAACGGCUACUAUGAGCUGUGAUCUGGGCUCAGCGAACACGAACAUCAUCCAUUGGUAUCGGCAGCCAGAUGGGCAACUCCCGGUCAGGAUCCUUUAUUAUAAUAAUGGGGGCAACAUGCGCGACGAUGGAAUUGAUGACAGAUUUACAGCGAGCGGUGUUGGUCAAGCUGAUCAACUAAAGCAGUGUUUUCUAACUGUGAAGCGUCUCCAGAAAGAGGAUUCCGGCACCUAUUACUGUGCCUAUUGGGACCCACACAGUUAA
Non-coding RNA from Hypanus sabinus (Atlantic stingray), 381 nucleotides. The record is from the annotation of a RefSeq genome assembly. NCBI's taxonomy places the organism in Eukaryota, Metazoa, Chordata, Chondrichthyes, Myliobatiformes, Dasyatidae.